This is a long non-coding RNA of Gymnodraco acuticeps, 769 nucleotides long. RefSeq lists it as uncharacterized. Lineage: Eukaryota; Metazoa; Chordata; Actinopteri; Perciformes; Bathydraconidae. The transcript is spliced from 2 exons. The record is from RefSeq and is a predicted model, not a curated record.
AAACAUCUCCAUUUGCAAAUGCUGGAGACCACUGUGCUCGUUGGGACCUUCAAUGUUGCAGACAUCUUUCUGUACCCUUCCCCAGAUCUGUGCCUUGAUACAAUCCUGUCUCUGAGGUCUACAGUCAAUUCCUUGGACCUCAUGGUUUGGUGUGUUCCUUUCCAAGUCAUGUCAAAUCUAUUGAAUUGACCACAGGUGGACUCCAGUCAAGUUAUAGAAACAUCUCAAGGAUGAUCAGUGGAAACGGGAUGCACCUGAGCUCAAUUUUCAGUGUCAUAGCAAAGGGUGUGAAUACAAUUUUGAAAUAAGGCUGUAAAAUGUGAAAAAGUUAAGGGGUAUGAAUACUUUCCGGAUGCACUGUAUGUUGGUAGGAUGAGGCUAAAGCUAAUUUAAGCUACAAAAUACAUGUUUACAAUAUACUAAGCAUAUAGUUUGGUACAUCUUUGAUCAGGAAUUUAAGAAUACACAAGCUAAGCACAGGGGGCUGAACACUAUUACCAUAAGUCACAUGUUUACAUAUUCAUUUUGAUGUUAGCUAUCCAUCCAUACAUCCAGCAGGCACACCUAAUUAACAAAAGUCCAAAAAUUACCCCUAUUACUUCUGAUUUGUCUUCAUUGACCCUGAACACAAUAAAUACGUGUUCUACUGUGUUAUGUUAACCAAAUACCCCUGUAAUUAUUUAACAUUUAAUGUUAAAUAAUUACUGAGUUGUCUAUGGUGGUUCAUAUUAUUGGCUUAAAAUCAACUAUAAAUGUGUGAAAAAUAAAC